UACGGGAGGCAGCAGUGGGGAAUAUUGCACAAUGGGCGAAAGCCUGAUGCAGCUAUGCCGCGUGUAUGAAGAAGGCCUUAGGGUUGUAAAGUACUUUCAUCGGGGAGGAAAAAACAAAACUAAUAAUUUUAUUUCUUGACGUUACCCGAAAAAGAAGCACCGGCUAACUCCGUGCCAGCAGCCGCGGUAAUACGGAGGGUGCUAGCGUUAAUCAGAAUUACUGGGCGUAAAGAGCACGUAGGUUGGUUUUUUUAAGUCAGAUGUGAAAUCCCUGGGCUUAACCUAGGAACUGCAUUUUGAAACUGAAAUACUAGAGUAUCGUAGAGGGAGGUAGAAUUCUAGGUGUAGCGGUGAAAUGCGUAGAUAUCUGGAGGAAUACCUGUGGCGAAAGCGGCCUCCUAAACGAAUACUGACACUGAGGUGCGAAAGCGUGGGGAGCAAACAGGGAUUAGAUACCCGU
RNAcentral lists this ribosomal RNA (460 nucleotides) under uncultured bacterium. Its description in RNAcentral is "bacterial SSU rRNA". It matches the Rfam family "Bacterial small subunit ribosomal RNA", at positions 340 to 789 of the family's 1533-position model. The record is from RNAcentral.